UUAAAAUAUUCUUUAAAAAUAAUUCGAAAGUUUAAUUUUAGUUUUAGCAAAAUUUCGAUAAAGAAAUUAAAUAAUAAAUACUGUAAAGAAAAUGUUUAGAAAAGGCCUGUGGAUCGAGGCGUGUAGAGCACUCUCCUAGAAGCGAAAUUGCCCCUCCACGUGCGAGGCUUCACGGCAAUUACUUCUAGCGAUACAAUGACCACAUUCCACCCCGUCGGCAUGCUUUCAUUUCAAGGUGGUGCAAGACGAACCCAAUAAGCUUUAGAUCCAGCAAAAUAUAAGAAAGCUCGGCGAAAAUCAGCGCCAAAAAUCAAUGGCGAGAAAACAAAAAAUGCGAGGUAGAGGAUA
RNAcentral lists this long non-coding RNA (348 nucleotides) under Ananas comosus (pineapple). Its description in RNAcentral is "long non-coding RNA (ACOM_LNC028304)". The record is from RNAcentral. Lineage: Eukaryota; Viridiplantae; Streptophyta; Magnoliopsida; Poales; Bromeliaceae.